RNAcentral lists this ribosomal RNA (152 nucleotides) under Thanatephorus cucumeris. RNAcentral's name for it is "5.8S ribosomal RNA". It matches the Rfam family "5.8S ribosomal RNA". Rfam says of the family: 5.8S ribosomal RNA (5.8S rRNA) is a component of the large subunit of the eukaryotic ribosome. It is transcribed by RNA polymerase I as part of the 45S precursor that also contains 18S and 28S rRNA. The record is from RNAcentral. Lineage: Eukaryota; Fungi; Basidiomycota; Agaricomycetes; Cantharellales; Ceratobasidiaceae.
UAAGUUUCAACAACGGAUCUCUUGGCUCUCGCAUCGAUGAAGAACGCAGCGAAAUGCGAUAAGGUGAAUUGCAGAAUUCAGUGAAUCAUCGAAUCUUUGAACGCACCUUGCGCUCCUUGGUAUUCCUUGGAGCAUGCCUGUUUGAGUAUCAU